UGAAAACCGGUCUCAGUUCGGAUCGCAGUCUGCAACUCGACUGCGUGAAGGUGGAGUCGCUAGUAAUCGCGGAUCAGCAACGCCGCGGUGAAUGCGUUCCCGGGCCUUGUACACACCGCCCGUCAAGUCAUGAAAGUGGGCAGCACCCGAAGACGGUGGCCUAACCCUUGUGGGGGGAGCCGUCUAAGGUGAGGCUCGUGAUUGGGACUAAGUCGUAACAAGGUACC
RNAcentral lists this ribosomal RNA (227 nucleotides) under uncultured bacterium. RNAcentral's name for it is "partial 16S ribosomal RNA". It matches the Rfam family "Bacterial small subunit ribosomal RNA", at positions 1276 to 1500 of the family's 1533-position model. The record is from RNAcentral.